AUCUGGAGCAGCAAACAGAUGAAUACAAUCAAACCCAUCAGGGUCAACAGGUUGUGGAGCCACAUUCUUCAGGAACUCCUGAAACAGAAUCUGCAAGGCAACCACAUUCAGCAGAAAAAUCUAGAUAUUCUGCAUCUCCUUAUAGGGGAGCCCCUGCUCAUGGAAUCUCACCUUCACAUAGUAUGGGCACAUUGGCAUCAAAGGCUUCUUCAUUUUCG
RNAcentral lists this unclassified non-coding RNA (218 nucleotides) under Hevea brasiliensis (rubber tree). The record is from RNAcentral. Lineage: Eukaryota; Viridiplantae; Streptophyta; Magnoliopsida; Malpighiales; Euphorbiaceae.